AGCAUUCUGGUGCUUAACACAGGCUGUUUUUACCUGACUGUAUAGAAAAAGGAAACCACCCCAUAUUCGCCACUGUGCCCUGUGCCUGUAUUGUGCCUGGUCUGUAUUGUGAAGGGGGAGCAUGG
Dipodomys spectabilis (banner-tailed kangaroo rat) is the source of this 125-nucleotide small nucleolar RNA. RefSeq annotates it as small nucleolar RNA SNORA51. The transcript has a single exon. The record is from RefSeq and is a predicted model, not a curated record. Lineage: Eukaryota; Metazoa; Chordata; Mammalia; Rodentia; Heteromyidae.